RNAcentral lists this ribosomal RNA (672 nucleotides) under Bacillus infantis. RNAcentral describes it as "bacterial SSU rRNA". It matches the Rfam family "Bacterial small subunit ribosomal RNA", at positions 237 to 919 of the family's 1533-position model. Lineage: Bacteria; Bacillati; Bacillota; Bacilli; Caryophanales; Bacillaceae. The record is from RNAcentral.
CGCAUUAUCUAUUUGGUGAGGUAAUCGGCUCUCCACGGCGCCGAUGCGUAUCCGACCUGAGAGGGUGAUCGGCCACACUGGGACUGAGACACGGCCCCGACUCCUACGGGGGGCACCACUAGGGAAUCUUCCCCACUGGGCAAAAGUCUCACAGAGCAACGCCCCGUGAGUGAUGAAGGUUUUCGGAUCUUAAAACUCUGUUGUCUGGGAAAAACACGUGCGAUAGUAACUGCCGGCGCCUUGAUGAUACCUGCCCAGAAAACCACGGCUAAAUACGUGCCAUCAGCCGCGGCAGUACAUAUGUGGGGGGCGUUGUCCUGAAUUAUUAGGCGUAAAACGCGCGCAGGCGGUCUCUUAAUCUGAUGUGAAAACCCCCCGCUCAUCCGUGGAGGGUCAUUGUAAACUGGGGGACUUCAUUGCUGAAGAAGAAAGUGGAAUUCCUCGUGUAGCGGUGAAUGCUUAGAAAUGUGGAGGAACACCACUGGCGAAGGCGACUUUCUGGUCUGUAACUGACGCUGAUGCGCCAAACAUGGGGAGCAACAGAUUAUAUACCCUGGUAGUCCCCCCGUAACAAUGAUGCUACUGUUAAAGGUUCCCCCUUUAUGCUGCAGCAACCCUUAUUCACUCCCCCGGGGAGUAGGCCGCAGGCUGAUCUCAAAGAAUUAACGAGGC